Molecule: ribosomal RNA, 200 nt
Filed under: uncultured bacterium
Lineage: Bacteria
Description: partial 16S ribosomal RNA
Rfam family: Bacterial small subunit ribosomal RNA
Source: RNAcentral
AGAGUUUGAUCCUGGCUCAGGACGAACGCUGGCGGCGUGCUUAACACAUGCAAGUCGAGCGGAAAGGCCCUUCGGGGUACUCGAGCGGCGAACGGGUGAGUAACACGUGAGCAACCUGCCCUCAGCUCUGGGAUAGCUCCGGGAAACCGGAAUUAAUACCGGAUAUGAUCACGGCCGACAUCGGCCAUGAUGGAAAGGAU